This 377-nucleotide long non-coding RNA is filed under the name Nicotiana benthamiana. RNAcentral describes it as "long non-coding RNA (NBEN_LNC020742)". Lineage: Eukaryota; Viridiplantae; Streptophyta; Magnoliopsida; Solanales; Solanaceae. The record is from RNAcentral.
UUAGUGCAGAAAGAGCAGGUGAAAAGGUCUAUGGCCGGCUUUCCACUUUGAUUCAGCAGAUUCCUUGAUUGAAUUCUGAAGCUAUUAGUGCAGAAAGAGCAGGUGAAAAGGUCUAUGGCAACCCAAAACACUUCCGCAGUAAUUAAGUGUUUAUGAGAAAACAAAGCAAUUUAAGCAAUGUGCUUAUACCAAAUUGGAUUAAUCCAUAAGUCCUCUGAAAAAAUAAACCCAUUUGACAUUCAUUAGGUCUUAAGAACCAAACGGUGAAAGAAUUCUGCUAAGAUGCUGAUAAGAAUGGACCUUGGGCCUAACUCAAUCUCAAAAGCUAGCUUAUGAGGUGAGGAUCGCCCAAGCCAUAUAAGGAGACCAAGGACCUC